UCCCUGGUGGUCCAGUGGCUAAGACUCCAUAUUCGCAAUGCAGGGGGCCCAGGUUCGAUCCCUGGUCAGGGAA
Non-coding RNA from Physeter macrocephalus (sperm whale), 73 nucleotides. The record is from the annotation of a RefSeq genome assembly. NCBI's taxonomy places the organism in Eukaryota, Metazoa, Chordata, Mammalia, Artiodactyla, Physeteridae.